GUAGUCUCGCACAGAUGUAUAUCAAUAAGCGGAGGAAAAGAAACUAACAAGGAUUCCCCUAGUAACGGCGAGUGAAGCGGGAAGAGCUCAAAUUUGAAAUCUUAAAGGGUUUCCCUUUACGAAUUGUAGUUUAAAGAAGUGUUUUCUGUUGAGGCUUUGGUAAAAGUUCUUUGGAAUAGGACAUCAUAGAGGGUGAGAAUCCCGUAUUUGACCUUUACUUUCAACUUUGUGAUAGCACUUUCAAAGAGUCGGAUUGUUUGGGAAUGCAGUCCAAAAUGGGUGGUAAAUUUCAUCUAAAGCUAAAUAUUGGCGAGAGACCGAUAGCGAACAAGUACCGUGAGGGAAAGGAUGAAAAGAACUUUGAAAAGAGAGUUAAACAGUAUGUGAAAUUGUCAAAAGGGAAGCGUUUGACACCAGUGUUGUUUUUCUGAAAAUCAAUUAAAGAACUGUUUAUGCUAAGCUGUUUAGACUUUAUCAGCUAAUCUGUUUAGUUUUGAGCUUUUCUUUAAUGCACUUUUCAGUUAACAAGUCAACAUCAAUUUCUUUUGCUGUAAAAAAGCUUGAGGAAGGUGGCUUGAGAUUCGUCUUAAGUGUUUAUAGCCUCUUGCCUAUGCAGUCGGAGAGAUUGAGGUCUGCAGCGUAGAUCCUUCGGGGCUAAAUGCAUUUGUGCUAAGUUAUAGCAUUUUAUAGACAACUUGUUGACUAUGAUUUGUCUUGUAGCUUACCUCGCUUAUGUUAUUUUACCUACGCUUAGGAUGUUGAUCUGUAGUGCGUGCGC
RNAcentral lists this ribosomal RNA (778 nucleotides) under uncultured Neocallimastigales. RNAcentral describes it as "partial large subunit ribosomal RNA". It matches the Rfam family "Eukaryotic large subunit ribosomal RNA", at positions 24 to 647 of the family's 3401-position model. Lineage: Eukaryota; Fungi; Neocallimastigomycota; Neocallimastigomycetes; Neocallimastigales. The record is from RNAcentral.